Molecule: ribosomal RNA, 610 nt
Filed under: uncultured archaeon
Lineage: Archaea
Description: bacterial SSU rRNA
Rfam family: Archaeal small subunit ribosomal RNA
Source: RNAcentral
GGUCACCGUUAUCAGGUUUCGACUAAGCCAUGCGAGGCGUGAGUCAUCUGGACUCGCCGAACUGCUCAGUAACACGUAGCUAAUCUGCCCUCAAGUGGAGGAUAAUCCUGAGAAAUUGGGGCUAAUACUCCAUAGCUGUUAAAUGCUGGAAUGCUUUAACAGCCAAAGCUUCGGCGCUUGAGGAUGAGGCUGCGGUCUAUCAUGACUGUUGUGAGUAUAAAAUACUCACAAAUCUAUAACGGAUAGGGGCCAUGAGAGUGGGAGCCUCGAGAUGCCUUCUGAGACAUGAAGGCAGGUCCUACGGGACGCAGCAGGUACGAAAACUUUCCAAUUCCUGAGAGGGUGAGAAGGGAAGCCUGAGUGAUUAUGCACUGCAUAGUCUUUUGUUUUGCCUAAAUAGCAAGACGAAUAAGUGGUGGGCAAGACGGGUGGCAGCCGCCGCGGUAAUACCCGCGCCACGAAUGGUGACCACGAUUAUUGGGUCUAAAGCGUCCGUAGCCGGUUCAACAAGUUCUUGGUGAAAUCCAGCAGUUAACUGUUGGGCAUGCUGAGAAUACUGUUGGACUUGGGAUCGGGAGAGGAAAGAUGUAUUCCACGUGUAGGGGUUAAA